RNAcentral lists this ribosomal RNA (495 nucleotides) under uncultured bacterium. RNAcentral's name for it is "partial 16S ribosomal RNA". It matches the Rfam family "Bacterial small subunit ribosomal RNA", at positions 28 to 507 of the family's 1533-position model. The record is from RNAcentral.
GACGAACGCUGGCGGCGUGCCUAAUACAUGCAAGUAGAACGCUGAAGGAGGAGCUUGCUUCUCUGGAUGAGUUGCGAACGGGUGAGUAACGCGUAGGUAACCUGCCUGUUAGCUUGGGAUAACUAUUGGAAACGAUAGCUAAUACCGCAUAGUAGUACAUGUUGCAUGACAUUUGCCGAAAAGGUUCAAUUGCAUCACUACCAGAUGGACCUGCGUUGUUUUGGCUAGUUGGUGGGGUAUCGGAUCACCUAGGCGACGAUGCAUAGCCGACCUGAGAGGGUGAGCAGCCACACUGAGAGUGAGACACGGCACAGAGUGCUACGGGAGGCAGCAGUAGGGAUUCGGGGGCAAUGAACGGAAGUCUGACCGAGAAGCGCCGAGUGCGUGAAGAAGGUUUUCGGAUCGUAAAGCUCUGUUGUAAGGGAAGAACGCGUGUGAGAGUGGAAAGUUCACACUGUGACGGUAACUUACAAGAAAGGGACGGCUAACUACGUG